RNAcentral lists this long non-coding RNA (523 nucleotides) under Canis lupus familiaris (dog). RNAcentral describes it as "lncRNA (ENSCAFG00845012422.1)". Lineage: Eukaryota; Metazoa; Chordata; Mammalia; Carnivora; Canidae. The record is from RNAcentral.
GGGGAGCAUGCAAAAAAAAGAAAAAAAGGCCACAGGGAAAUAAUUUGGGUAGUCCUAUGAGGCUGUAGGUUUUCCGACUAGAGAUGGGGGCAGAAAUCCUUGUUAAGAAAUAUUAAUCCUUCUUAAGAAAUCAGAACUAUUAAGAAAGCAACUUUUCUAUCCCUUGACAAUGAGCAAAAGAAAAAGAUCCUGCCUUGAGUCAAAGCAAGAAGCAGCUCUCCAUGAUACGUUUCUCACUGGCCUGACUUGACUCACUCCAGAUGCUGGACUUCUACAGCAGCAGAGGUGAACAUCUGUCAAUAUGCUGCCAGAGAGGCUCUGAGAUCCACAAGAAGUGCAUCAGCCAGGAGGCAUCUGGAUCAAAAGCUGGUGAGGUUUGUGCUCCAGCUGUAACACCACAAGUGACCACGGGUAAACUUUUAGACCAUUACUGACCAAUAGCAUCUUCUGUGAUACUGAAACUGUGUGUAUUUAUGCUGUUCAAUGGGGUAGACACUGGCCACAUGUGGCUGUUGAGUACUUG